UUCAUUACUUGAGUCUCAGAAAAAUUCCCCCUCGUUUUUUGCCGCUCUUCUUCUCUUUGCCAUGGCUUCUGAUUCUUCUCCUGCUAAUUUUAACAACGGAGCAUGAGAGAUAAUGAUUGUUUGCCUGGUAGUUGCUGUUAUAAUCUGAUGAUUCAGGGGUUUCUUCAGAGGGUCGAAGAGUUUGAAUCACCCCAAAUACAAAACCAGGUAAAGCAACGAUCUCGCGUUUGGCGACUGCAGUUCAUGGUCAGCAAUUCCAGG
Hibiscus syriacus is the source of this 261-nucleotide long non-coding RNA. RefSeq lists it as uncharacterized. The transcript is spliced from 3 exons. Lineage: Eukaryota; Viridiplantae; Streptophyta; Magnoliopsida; Malvales; Malvaceae. The record is from RefSeq and is a predicted model, not a curated record.